RNAcentral lists this ribosomal RNA (427 nucleotides) under uncultured archaeon. RNAcentral describes it as "bacterial SSU rRNA". It matches the Rfam family "Archaeal small subunit ribosomal RNA", at positions 147 to 575 of the family's 1478-position model. The record is from RNAcentral.
UAAUACCGGAUAGAUCAAAGAUACAGGGAUGUUCUAUGGUCAAAAACUCUGGUGCCCAAGGAUGGGUCUGCGGCCUAUCAGGUAGUAGUGGGUGUAACGUACCUACUAGCCUACGACGGGUAAGGGUUGUGAGAGCAAGAGCCCUGAGAUGGAUUCUGAGACAUGAAUCCAGGCCCUACGGGGUGCAGCAGGCGCGAAAACUUUACACUGCGGGAAACCGCGAUAAGGGGACCCCGAGUGCCAGCACCUAGUGCUGGCUGUCCAGCUGUCCAAAUAACAGUUGUUAGCAAGGGCCGGGCAAGACCGGUGCCAGCCGCCGCGGUAACACCGGCGGCCCGAGUGGUAGCCGUUAUUAUUGGGUUUAAAGGGUCCGUAGCCGGCCUAUUAAGUCUCUUGGGAAAUCUGGCGACUCAAUCGUCAGGCGUUC